AUGUACAUUCAUACAACAUAGAAUUAAUGCAUCAGAUCCCAUUAGAACUCCAUAGUUAAGUGCACUCAGGAUAGAGUAGUACUGUGAUGAGUGACCGCUUGAGAAGUCCUAGUGUUUUACAUG
Non-coding RNA from Picea glauca (white spruce), 123 nucleotides. The record is from Rfam. Lineage: Eukaryota; Viridiplantae; Streptophyta; Pinopsida; Pinales; Pinaceae.